UCCAGGAAGGGCUCCCUUCCUCUAGAGCCCUGAACAGCUUGGAUCCCUCUCACCACCGACUUAGCCCAGUCGCCAGAUCCCUCCAUUAUCCCCAACAGCCCCAGUUUCAAGGUUUCGCCUCAUCAGGUCGUCCCGUAAGGUCCAGCGUUGCAGCACGGGAAGCCCUCUCGGGGGCCCCCACAUGGAGCCCGCAUGCCCUAGCUCUUCCUUCCCCAACCGCUGAAACGAUGGUGACGAGGCAGAGGAGAAUAAUGCCACGGCCGAGAUUGCGGCGGACGUACAGAAAAACCCCAGGCGAGAGGAUUUUCUUGGGACAGAGAGCAGGGCUGAGAGGAGGCACGGAGAACAUGCAGAGAAGGUCUGCAAGGAGCAUGGGGGCUGACCUUGGUGGCCACCCCGCAGGUGCUCUGGGCUCGGGGCUCCGGCAGGGCACGUCAGUUCUCCGUACAGAAGUCAUCUGACGAUGCUCCCCAAACUGGCGAACGCCCCUCGAGGAAACGACAGCAAAAACGAACACUCUCGUCCAUAAUCCUACUGCAGACAGAGCGCUGAUGUCAACAUGGGGAGUCGACAUUAGCCUUCGAGUUUUCGGUGUCUGCAAAUGUGUUAACCGGAGGGCGGCAAAACCGCGUAUGCUUUUCGCAGCCUGCUUUCCGCCACUUGACAAGAUACCAUAACCACGUGAAACCAGUUCUCCCGACAUUAUUUUUGAAAUCAUCAUCUCCUCUCAUCUUGCUGUCUCUUGAGCUUGUUGUUGUUCUGAAUCGUCCAUUCAGUUACAUGGUGGUGCCUCACUAUGUAAACGUUCUCGCUUAAUAAAGAAUUGGGCUAAUU
This is a long non-coding RNA of Felis catus (domestic cat), 834 nucleotides long. RefSeq lists it as uncharacterized. The transcript has 2 exons. NCBI's taxonomy places the organism in Eukaryota, Metazoa, Chordata, Mammalia, Carnivora, Felidae. The record is from RefSeq and is a predicted model, not a curated record.